Molecule: non-coding RNA, 212 nt
Filed under: Gammaproteobacteria bacterium
Lineage: Bacteria; Pseudomonadati; Pseudomonadota; Gammaproteobacteria
Description: 6S RNA
Rfam family: 6S / SsrS RNA
About the family: E. coli 6S RNA was the first non coding RNA to be sequenced, but its function was unknown until recently. It consists of 184 nucleotides that fold into an extended hairpin structure with a large single-stranded internal bulge. The 6S RNA specifically associates with RNA polymerase holoenzyme containing the sigma70 specificity factor.
Source: RNAcentral
AGUCUCCUGGAAUGUACGCCAGUUGGUGUCGUCCUUGAGCCGUUAGAGAAACUAAAGGAGAUUUCGGCGCUGACGCCCGUGUGCAUGUCCGACACCGUUUUUGCUCGCAAAAGCAGGCGAAUUCGGAUCGGGAAGCCUUCGACGUCGCCCGGGUCCCCGCCUUGAACCAUAACGGUUCAGGGCAAACCAAACAGCGGCAUUUUGGGAGACUU